GAGGAACGCUGGCGGCGUGCUUAACACAUGCAAGUCGAACGGUGAAGCAGGAGCUUGCUCUUGUGGAUCAGUGGCGAACGGGUGAGUAACACGUGAGCAACCUGCCCCUGACUCUGGGAUAAGCGCUGGAAACGGCGUCUAAUACUGGAUAUGUGAUGUGACCGCAUGGUCUGCAUCUGGAAAGAAUUUCGGUUGGGGAUGGGCUCGGGGCCUAUCAGCUUGUUGGUGAGGUAAUGGCUCACCAAGGCGUCGACGGGUAGCCGGCCUGAGAGGGUCACCGGCCACGUGGGUACUGAGAGACGGGCCAGACUCCUACGGGAGGCUGCAGUAGUGAAUAUUGCACAAUGGGCGGAAGCCUGAUGCAGCAACGCCGCGUGAGGGAUGACGGCCUUCGGGUUGUAAACCUCUUUUAGCAGGGAAGAAGCGAAAGUGACGGUACCUGCAGAAAAAGCACCGGCUAACUACGUGCCAGCCGCCGCCGUAA
RNAcentral lists this ribosomal RNA (484 nucleotides) under uncultured bacterium. RNAcentral describes it as "partial 16S ribosomal RNA". It matches the Rfam family "Bacterial small subunit ribosomal RNA", at positions 28 to 523 of the family's 1533-position model. The record is from RNAcentral.